AAUCUGUGGUGUGGGCAUUUCUAAAUCAGCGUCUUAAAAAACUCCCUUGCUUCAUGAAAACUUCCCCCUCUAAUUAUUUGAACGUAGAAAUUUCCCUUCUUAGUUU
RNAcentral lists this small nucleolar RNA (106 nucleotides) under Gossypium hirsutum (cotton). Its description in RNAcentral is "Plant small nucleolar RNA R71". It matches the Rfam family "Plant small nucleolar RNA R71". Rfam says of the family: R71 is a member of the C/D box family of snoRNAs containing the C (UGAUGA) and D (CUGA) box motifs. Multiple nearly identical copies of this snoRNA have been identified in Arabidopsis, and it is thought to function as a 2'-O-ribose methylation guide for 18S ribosomal RNA. The record is from Rfam by way of RNAcentral. RNAcentral also lists the same sequence under 1 other name. Lineage: Eukaryota; Viridiplantae; Streptophyta; Magnoliopsida; Malvales; Malvaceae.